Oreochromis niloticus (Nile tilapia) is the source of this 2341-nucleotide long non-coding RNA. RefSeq lists it as uncharacterized. NCBI's taxonomy places the organism in Eukaryota, Metazoa, Chordata, Actinopteri, Cichliformes, Cichlidae. The transcript has 3 exons. The record is from RefSeq and is a predicted model, not a curated record.
UUUCAGUGCAGGCAAUUUAUUAUUCCGUCUUGAAAAGCUAGUUUAUUUACUGCAAUCAAAAUGACUGAAAACAGCAGCUUUCAUACACAGCUUCUACGCGGGCAGAGUUCACUUUGCCUUCAUUUCCAGAUCUAUUUCAAGUGACUGGGUGCAGGGCAUGACCAACGUGGCCCAAAAGAAGGUAAAACGUAAUGAAAAGCAGGGACGUAAAGUCUUUCCACACAAUGAAUCUUUGUUUCAGUCUGUCCCCAAAGGCCAUUUUCUCCUACAUAUCUGUCCAUGAGCGACCUGGGAAAUGACCCAAAUCUGAUCACUGUGAUUUGUCUCAGGAAAUCGACCCCCACCUUAUUCUUCGACUUCAUAGUGACACUCCUGUGUGCAAACACGUUUUCAGAGUAGUGAUAAAUCCACUCGACACCCUUCAACUCUGGCCCUCCCCCAUCAGCUACACAUGGCGGUAGUAAAUUCACGUUUCUAUUGAGCAGGAAAGGAAGAAAGGAGUGUGGCUGAAGGUUGGAACUGGGGUUCAUCUUUCACUCCAUUCCCCUCCGCCCCCAAAAAAGGGGUCUGGACACAGUGACCCCAAACUAGUGAAGGAGAGGGGGAUGUGAUCAUGUCUGACAGCGAGAAAAAACGGACAAGCUGGAUUUCGUGAAACAUCUUUACUGUCAUCGUAGCUGUGGCAUGUCUCUCCAACAUAUGGGAAUCAUUAGAUUCCAGAAGAAUGCAACAGAGAGCAAAGAAUCAGCCUGGCAAUGGUUAACAGUGUCUCAGUGGAGAUUCCUGCUUCAAGUUCCUAGUUUUACAUUUAUUUAGGACCCAAGAUGCUAUCGGCUAUUUAAUAACAAACAUGCUUGAGUCUAAAUGCUAUGCAGGUAUACACUAUACACUUCUAAGCGUGAAGUCUCUUCCUGUUAAAACUCCCCCACAGUCACCUGUGUUUCCUAAUAUGAGUUCAUUACGACAGCCACUGGAUUUAUGUGCACAGACAUUGAAAUGGAGGAUGGAUGCAGAGCAUAACAGAACUUCCCCUUUAUCCGUUUUGGUUCCAACUGUAAUAAAAUUUAGCCAAGACGAUGUAGUCAAAGUUCUUCCCAUCUGCAGUAUUUUAUAUUGGCAGCAUGGGUCUGCUCUGGGACAUUCCUGACUCAAUGACAACAGAUAUGACACUGAUAGAGGAGAAACUGAGGUGGAGGUGGGUGGUAAAGCAGCUUGCAGAUGUGCAGAUUAUUACAAUGGCAAAGUGAUCCUUGACCUUAUGCAACUCAGUUCUUAUGUGGAUAAGAACUGAGUUUAACUGAGCUGCUGUAAUUAUAGUUGCCUAAAAUAACAUUUUUCAGGAGUUGCCAUCCACGUGCAUUGAUAAAAUUCAUUCAUGUAGUCCAUCCAUCCAUUUACUUUGGCUUAUCCAGGUUGCAGCAGCCUAAGCAGACACCUCCCUCACAUUCUGAUAGUCUACACUCUUUGAGAUCUUUGAGUUUGGCCACUUACAAUUGGACACAGUUGCUUGACGGCCCAGUGCUAUAUUGCAAUUCUUUAUUCCUUUCUAAAUAAGUACUCUGGGCCGGCCUUAUAUACUGGGAGUCAUGAGAGGGAAGUUAGAAAGCAAUCAACCUUAGGUAAGAUGUAAGGUCAGAGAAUUAGGUCAUUAUCAGCCAACGUGUGUGAAUGUGGUUAAAAAAAGGACAGCUGAAAGAGUGGAAUAUUUGUCUGAUUUGGCCUGUUCUGUACUGUUUGUGCUGGUGAGUGCAGUGCUGCUUAUGGGGCGUCGCUGUGACUACACCACUGAGCAUAACAUGCUCUGUAAUACACUUACUAAGAUCAAGUGAUGAGCCCUAACCUAUAAUCUCUUCCUUCCAAAAACUCUUCAUCUGUCAUUCACUUUCAUCUCUUCGCAAAUGUAAAGCAUGUUUCCCUCCAGCUCUUAAAGGAGCAGGCUAUUCUACUGCCAUCAACUUCAUGUUACAGUGAAAACUCCACAAACAGCAUCACAAUUAGAUCUGGUGUAAGUUCCAUUUCAAAACAAUUUACUGGCAAUUAAUGACACAUGCCAUAACCAUUGACCCAGCGACAUUAUACAAAAGAGAAGAUCUUAACCUCCUGAAGUCCUCAUCGCCAACAACCCUAACGUUAACGCUCAUCCCAGACAAAAAAUUUUUAUGAAAUUGAUUUCCCAAGUCUUGGUAAUCAAGAACAAAAAGAAAUAAUCAUUUUCACAAACACUGUCCUUCUCCAAAAUACAGGUUUAGGCUGAGCACCAGUGAUGGCUUAGACCUCAGAGGGUUAAAACUAUAUGCCGUCAACCUUUCUUUAAAUGUAAAUACAACAUACAUAUGCUCGA